This 440-nucleotide ribosomal RNA is filed under the name uncultured bacterium. RNAcentral's name for it is "partial 16S ribosomal RNA". It matches the Rfam family "Bacterial small subunit ribosomal RNA", at positions 338 to 795 of the family's 1533-position model. The record is from RNAcentral.
CCUACGGGGGACUGCAGUGGGGGAUAUUGCACAAUGGGGGAAACCCUGAUGCAGCAACGCCGCGUGUGGGAAGAAGGUUUUCGGAUUGGAAACCACUGUUCGUGGGGAAGAGAAUGACGGUAACCAAGGAGAAAGCUCCGGAUAACUACGGGCCAGCAGCCGCGGUAAGACGUAGGGAGCAAGCGUUGUCCGGAGUUACUGGGUGUCAAGGGGGCGUAGGCGGUCUUGCAAGUCAGACGGGAAAACCACAGGCUCCACCUGUGGCCUGCGUGUGAAACGGUGGGGCUUGAGGGAAGUAGAGGUCGGCGGACUUCCCGGUGUAGCGGUGACAUGCGUCGAGCUCGGGCGGAACCCCAGUGGCGAAGGCGGCCUACUGGGCUUUACCUGCCGCUGAGGCACGAACGCCUGGGUAGCACACAGGAUUAGCUCCCCCAGUAGUC